Molecule: long non-coding RNA, 460 nt
Filed under: Mus caroli (Ryukyu mouse)
Lineage: Eukaryota; Metazoa; Chordata; Mammalia; Rodentia; Muridae
Description: predicted gene 43522 (MGP_CAROLIEiJ_G0005732.1)
Source: RNAcentral
ACACUGACUGUGCCCUUAAGUCUGCAUGACAGUGAUGCUCCACAGAAGUGCAGAUGGUUGUGAACCACCAUGUAGUUGCUGGGAAUUGAACCCAUGACCUCUGGAAGAGCAGUCAGUGCUCUUAACCGCUGAGCUAUCACUCCAGCCUUCAUGGAGAACUUUAAAGCAGUCAAUCUUAAGGCUCUUCUUGUGUUCUGGGAUAACCGCCCGCACCAAGUUGGUUGGAAGACUCCUGAAACCCCCCAAAGGCUAAAGCCACCACAGUUGUCUGUGAAAGAACCCCCGCCUUUCUCCCACCUGUAAAAGGAGUCACUGUGGGGUCACAGAAUUAAAUUGUCGAUAGAGGGCGCCAGAGGACGGCGAAGAAACUACGGACAACGGCGUUGGCAUAUUUCUUUGGUUUAAAUUACGAUUUAAAAAAAGAAAAAGAAAAAGAAAUGAAAGAGAAAAAAAUUGAAAA